Molecule: long non-coding RNA, 740 nt
Filed under: Monodelphis domestica (gray short-tailed opossum)
Lineage: Eukaryota; Metazoa; Chordata; Mammalia; Didelphimorphia; Didelphidae
Description: lncRNA (ENSMODG00000050097.1)
Source: RNAcentral
CCUGCUUGGGUAAAAAAUAAUGGAAAAAUAUACUGCCCAUAUUGGGAUGUGUAGUUUUAUGAGUAGCUCGUUGAGUUUAUAUAGUUAUAAACAUAUCUCACACAUAGGGGUUUAAUAAGUGCUUCUUUUGUUUUAUAGGUACUUCACAUGGACAUAAUUGAAUAGGAGAGAAAAUUGGGCUGGAUUGCAUUUUGGAAACCAUAUGGUACUUUCUUGGAACCCAAGCUGCAUGCUGCCACAUCUAUAUAUUCUCCAGAAAUGGAAGGUUCAUAGGAUCAUAGAUAUAAAGCUGGAAGGGACCUUAGACCAUCAAGUCCAACUCUCAUUUUACAGGUGAGGAAAUUGAGUACCAGAGAGGUUUUAAGUGACAUGCCUAAGAUCACAUAUGUUUUGGUGGUUUAAUUUGGACAAAGGUUUCUGAGGGUACACGGUGUAGGAAAUAUAGUUCUCUAUAAUGCUGGGCUUGAAGUUUUUAGAUGGGGAUUUUAUUUCACCUCAGUACUUCUAUUGACUCUAACCCACCCCCAACCUCAUACCCAUUCCCAAAAGUCCUUACUAAGCUAGGGUCUGCUAAAAAUAACUUUGUAUAGAACUGUUUUUGACACUGACUGGAGACUUUUUAUUUUAGGCUGACCUCCCCAUUUCCUUAGUAAAAUAUUGUAAGGAUUGGUUCAGUGGAAAGUGUUGAAUUAACAAUUAAAAUUAAUUUAGAAGAAUAAAGGUCUAGAACAGUGAUAGCA